Non-coding RNA from Musa acuminata subsp. malaccensis (wild Malaysian banana), 1273 nucleotides. The record is from RefSeq and is a predicted model, not a curated record. Lineage: Eukaryota; Viridiplantae; Streptophyta; Magnoliopsida; Zingiberales; Musaceae.
UCCUCCUCCUCGUCCUCUCGAGUCUAUUGAUCUCUGGGGGCAGCGGUUCAUCGAUCCCUUACUGGCCCUGUUAGUCUCUCUCGUGGCGGUGGUCAGGUCCGUUCGUUUUCUUGCUUUUCUAUGCGUUCGAAGGGGGAGUAGGUCGACGAACGUCAGCAUCCGGACUUCCACAUCGACCCGUCUCCCGACCCCCCUUCGCCGUCCAUUUGUUGCGAUCUCUUCUUUAGCUCUAUUCUUUACACCAGAGACUGGGAGAAAAAAGAUCUGAGGUGAUGGCUAUUUUUGAGUCGGCAAUAAUAGUGCCAUAAACAUACAGAUCGGUACGGAGUGAUGGAAGGCUCGAGCUUGAUGAUUGAUGGAUGAGGAAAGUAAUUUUCUUUCUGCGCAAUAAACUGUUCCCGUUCUGUUUGGAUGCCUGUAGUUGUCAAAUAGACAUCUUUAACUAUAUGAUGAAUUAAAAUAUCAAUUUUAGCUAGGAAGCUGGAUCUGUUUUGUAAGUCGUCAAGAACGGGCAAGCGGCAGAUAUUGUGAGAUGGAUUUAACAUGGCUUCGGGAGGAAUAAGUGGGGAAAACGAAGUAAAGCUGAUCAUACUAAUGGACAGAAGGGCGUGGUUUCCUAUGAAGGUGAUUGAGAUGUCUUCCGUGAUUUGAAGGUUUGACUUAGCUACAUGAUUAUGUUUCUCGUUACUUCUCCCAAAUUCUGGGUGAAAAGACUCGGGACACUGGAAAAUUUUCUCCAGUUAUGGUAGCGUACGACUCUUAGAUAACGAAAUCCCUACUGAUGAUGUUGCUGUGUUGACUCUGUGCCAGCCUCUGAAUUUUUUGGGCAAGACAGGAGAUAUCCUUGAUACACACUAGAUGACUGUAAUGUGCAUGGUCAGAGAGAGCACACAACAUUCUGGAGGUUAAUUACAUCUAUGACUGAGAGCAAAUAAUGCUCUGAAGUUUAGCCAGCCAUUGGUUAAGUCUUGAUUAUUUCAUGUAAGAUUCAACUUGACCCCAUAUGCAGCUGAAAUGGUCUCAUGCAUUGAUGCCAGACAGCCAGGAUGAAAAACUGGUUUUUUAUUAUCAUAUUUGAUAAUUUUCUUUCUAUCUUUUCUGAAUGUAAGAAAUGUAGUAGGAUGCCAAGCAUAGCUAACUAUAUUAUUUACUCUCAACACCAGUUCAACUUUGUAUUCUUUGAGUGUUCACUAUGUAUUAGUUGGAUAACUGGUACACUGCAUUGGUUGUUUAACACUUGAGGGCAAUUUAUUAUUGGUUUGCAAGUAAAACA